GAGUUUUCACUCCCAACCCUUGCAAACCGUACCCCGUUCUGUUCUCGUUGCUUCUGGCGGGAGGCGGGAGGGCGCGGGGGGGUGUGGUGGCCUCGGCCGCCUCGCCCCUCCUCCGCCUUCCCCCCCUGGGUCCCCUCGGGGCGCCCGCCAGCGGUCAGCGAGCCGCCCGAACUUUUAUACCAACAGCAAACGUCUUCGUCUGAGCAACAAACAAAAAUAAGCAAAACUUUCAACAACGGAUCUCUUGGCUCUGGCAUCGAUGAAGAACGCAGCGAAAUGCGAUACGUAAUGCGAAUUGCAGAAUUCAGCGAGUCAUCGAAUCUUUGAACGCACAUUGCGCCCGCCAGCAUUCUGGCGGGCAUGCCUGUCCGAGCGUCAUUUCCCCCCUCAGCGCACCCUUUGCGCUGGCGUUGGGGCUCCUCCGCCCCGCUCGUGGGCGGCAGGGCCCUCAAAACCAGUGGCGGGCCCAGCUGGUGGCUCCGAGCGCAGUACCGAACGCAUCGUUCUCCUCUCGCUCUGCAGCUCCGGCCGGCGCCCAGCCGUCAAGCCGCGCGGGCGGUCCUCAGCGUCUUUUCGCCGAGCCGCCUCGCACUUUGUACCAAGGUUGACCUCGGAUCAGGUAGGACUACCCGCUGAACUUAAGCAUAUCA
RNAcentral lists this small RNA (650 nucleotides) under Ophiostoma bicolor. Its description in RNAcentral is "eukaryotic LSU rRNA". The stretch from base 225 to 378 matches the Rfam family "5.8S ribosomal RNA". The record is from RNAcentral. Lineage: Eukaryota; Fungi; Ascomycota; Sordariomycetes; Ophiostomatales; Ophiostomataceae.